AACGAUGAUCACUAGACGUCAGUUUGGCUUGCCGAAUUGGUGUCGUAGCUAACGCGUUAAGUGAUCCGCCUGGGGAGUACGAUCGCAAGAUUAAAACUUAAAGGAAUUGACGGGGGUCCGCACAAGCGGUGGAACAUGUGGUUUAAUUCGACACUACGCGAGGAACCUUACCUGGGCUUGACAUGUUUUUGACCGCUGUAGAAAUACAGCUUUCCAAGCUUCGGUUUGGACAAUUUCACAGGUGCUGCAUGGCUGUCGUCAGCUCGUGUCGUGAGACGUUAGGUUAAGUCCUCUAACGAGCGCAACCCUUGCCAUCAGUUGCUACUAUCGCAAGAUAGGCACUCUGGUGGGACUGCCUGGGAAACCAGGAGGAAGGUGGGGACGAUGUCAAGUCAUCAUGGCCCUUAUGUCCAGGGCUACACACGUGUUACAAUGGCCGGUACAGAGGGUUGCAAUACCGUAAGGUGGAGCUAAUCCCAGAAAGCCGGUCUAAGUUCGGAUUGAGGUCUGCAACUCGACCUCAUGAAGUUGAAAUCGCUAGUAAUCGCGUAUCAGCAACGACGCGGUGAAUACGUUCUCGGACCUUGUACACACCGCCCGUCACGCCAUGAAAGUUGUUUGUACCCAAAGUUGUUUUAGCUAACCUGUAA
Molecule: ribosomal RNA, 650 nt
Filed under: uncultured bacterium
Lineage: Bacteria
Description: bacterial SSU rRNA
Rfam family: Bacterial small subunit ribosomal RNA
Source: RNAcentral